Molecule: ribosomal RNA, 328 nt
Filed under: Klebsiella pneumoniae
Lineage: Bacteria; Pseudomonadati; Pseudomonadota; Gammaproteobacteria; Enterobacterales; Enterobacteriaceae
Description: bacterial SSU rRNA
Rfam family: Bacterial small subunit ribosomal RNA
Source: RNAcentral
AGCGGGGAGGAAGGCGAUAAGGUUAAUAACCUUGUCGAUUGACGUUACCCGCAGAAGAAGCACCGGCUAACUCCGUGCCAGCAGCCGCGGUAAUACGGAGGGUGCAAGCGUUAAUCGGAAUUACUGGGCGUAAAGCGCACGCAGGCGGUCUGUCAAGUCGGAUGUGAAAUCCCCGGGCUCAACCUGGGAACUGCAUUCGAAACUGGCAGGCUAGAGUCUUGUAGAGGGGGGUAGAAUUCCAGGUGUAGCGGUGAAAUGCGUAGAGAUCUGGAGGAAUACCGGUGGCGAAGGCGGCCCCCUGGACAAAGACUGACGCUCAGGUGCGAAA